GAUGAAGAACGCAGCGAAAUGCGAUAAGUAAUGUGAAUUGCAGAAUUCAGUGAAUCAUCGAGUCUUUGAACGCACAUUGCGCCCCCUGGUAUUCCGAGGGGCAUGCCUGUCCGAGCGUCAUUGCCGCCCUCAAGCACGGCUUGUGUGUUGGGCCCCCGCCCCCCGGCUUCGGGGGGCGGGCCCGAAAGGCAGCGGCGGCACCGCGUCCGGUCCUCGAGCGUAUGGGGCUUCGUCACCCGCUCUGUAGGCCCGGCCGGCGCCCGCCGGCGACCCCAAUCAAUCUUUCCAGGUUGACCUCGGAUCAGGUAGGGAUACCCGCUGAACUUAAGCAUAUCAAUAAGCGGAGGA
RNAcentral lists this unclassified non-coding RNA (348 nucleotides) under soil metagenome. RNAcentral's name for it is "partial contains 5.8S ribosomal RNA, internal transcribed spacer 2, and large subunit ribosomal RNA". The stretch from base 1 to 120 matches the Rfam family "5.8S ribosomal RNA", at positions 35 to 154 of the family's 154-position model. The record is from RNAcentral.